CAUGAGAAAGCAAGGCUCUUACCAUGAUUCAGUGCCUUCGCCUUCUACCUCCUGGAAAUGAUCAGAGCUAGAAAUUCCAAACAAUGAGAAAGUCUAUCACAGCCAAGAAAUGGAAGUGGAGAUUUCAUGUUCUUAUUUUCAACUUGUCUGCUUCUUACCUCCUUCUGGACCUCAGAACAAGAAGGGCCUGGAGACUGAGGAGCAGAGUUUGAGCAAAUCCACGCUUUAAGAAAACUGUCCACUGCAGCUGAUACUGUACUGAUGGACCCAUGUACCCACACCAAGUCCACUGUAGUUGUAGGAUGAAAAUUACAUGCAUCAAGCGACAACCUGUAUUUUGUGGUCUGCUGG
Molecule: long non-coding RNA, 351 nt
Organism: Chelonia mydas (Green sea turtle)
Lineage: Eukaryota; Metazoa; Chordata; Testudines; Cheloniidae
Exons: 5
Source: RefSeq, a predicted model, not a curated record